Molecule: non-coding RNA, 114 nt
Organism: Mesocestoides corti
Lineage: Eukaryota; Metazoa; Platyhelminthes; Cestoda; Cyclophyllidea; Mesocestoididae
Source: Rfam
UUUAGAUACGGAGACAUGGUACCGAAAACUAUUCUUGGUCAGCUGAUUGGUGGCACGUGUGCGCUUUCAGGAGUUCUUGUAAUUGCACUUCCAGUCCCAUUUAUCGUGUCCAAC